UACAGAGGGUGCAAGCGUUAAUCGGAAUUACUGGGCGUAAAGCGUGCGUAGGCGGUAGCGUAAGUCGGGUGUGAAAGCCCCGGGCUCAACCUGGGAAUUGCAUUCGAGACUGCUCUGCUAGGGUGCGGAAGAGGGAAGCGGAAUUUCCGGUGUAGCGGUGAAAUGCGUAGAUAUCGGAAGGAACACCAGUGGCGAAAGCGGCUUCCUGGUCCAGCACCGACGUUCAGGCACGAAAGCGUGGGGAGCAAACAGG
This 253-nucleotide ribosomal RNA is filed under the name uncultured bacterium. Its description in RNAcentral is "partial 16S ribosomal RNA". It matches the Rfam family "Bacterial small subunit ribosomal RNA", at positions 524 to 776 of the family's 1533-position model. The record is from RNAcentral.